UCUGUGAAAAUCCGAGAAAAAAACUUUUAAUCUAUGUUUUUGGUUAAAAGACGCAUAGAAAAAAUGUCAAAAUCGUCCGGCAUUUUCAGCCACCAUGUUUGUUGACAGUGACAAAAAAAAUAUUUUUCGUGAAAAUGGCGAUGGUUAUCUUUAAAACCAUACUGUCGAGAAUGAAAAGUUAUGUUAAGCAAAAAAUAUUUUGACAGUGCCCAACUUUGCUUUUUUAUAUGUAAGUUUGAUUAUUGUUUAAUUCAAUUUAUUAUUCAAAAUAAUAUUGAAUACCGUAAUUCACAAGAGUUCGGACACCAUAAAUUAAUUAUUUUUUUCGCUCUCCGAAUACAUAGAAAUUUAUCAUUUUUACAUUUUAUUUACAUGUUUGUUUAACCUGCCUUUUUUCUUCAUGUUUGCUUUUUACCACUUAUUAAUUUAUCCGUAGUAAUCAAUGGUCAUAAACUUAUUGUAAAUCCUUAAUGAAGUUAAUUAAAACACCAUUUUAUACAUGCACUGAACUGAAUAAACAGAUUCUAUCGGCUUCAGAUCAAAGAGUCACACUGUGUGACGUCACAUAACUUACAGUUAUGCCCACGAGGAUCUCUUGGAGAGCAUGGACAUUGCUAUGCAGGAUUAAUGUAUAACUGUACGAUUAUUGCUUCAUAUAGUCUAUACCGUAAUUGUGGUACAAGUUUGAAAGCUUAUUGGCAGAUCGUUUUACAAACAUGCCAUGUCGAUGUUUUCUUAAUCCCUUGAUUGCCCUUGUUGUUUGUUUAAUCCUCAAAUAAAUAUAUCACACUUCCUUUUCAACAGGCAAUAAAUCGUUUAGGAUGGGUAGUAACUAAUUAAAUUGUCACAGUGGUGUAUACGGUUAGGUAAUCUAGCCAGGCAGUGUAAAGAUAAAAAUCAAUAUUCUUCGUCUGUGAAACUUGGUAACUAUGAAAGUUAUGAUUGAUGUCCUUUGGGUGUCCGAAAAUUAGGUACGCAAAAUAAAUUAUUUUGGGAAAUAAUUAUGGGUGUCCAAAUAUAAAAUAUUUUUGUUGAAAUUAUAAACGUCUUACGAUAUACCGUAUCCCGAUCUUCAACUGCCGUUUUAACCCGUAUAUACUCGAUCAAUAUGACGCGAGUAACAUCCCUUUCUACAUAAAUCUAAACAAACUCUCGGCUUGAAAUUGACAUCAGAAAAAAAGUUCAAAAAAUUGUUACUGGGUAUUAUACGCAGGCAUUUUUUUGCAUCAAAAUCUGAGGGAAAAAAGUGCGUCUAAUACCCAGUCAUUUACGGUACAAACUGCUGCGAUGACAGUGUUGUUCCUUCCAUUAUACCACAUGUUUGAAAUACUUCGCCUAAAGUGUUGAGAACAUUUACAUAAGUAUACAAUUGCUUUUACUAUUCGCAACGACAGCAAAACAAUUGAGGGUUUAGAGGAGAGGGACAUCAGGAUGACAGAAUGAAAUUCCUGAUUAUUAAUUAUUUAAUACAGUAAUGCAAUUAACCAUUAAUCAGCUUUGUACCACUUUGUGUCAUUGUUAUUUGAAUAUUUUUAUCAUUUAUGUACAUGGACUGUACUAUUUUAUAAACUUUGCCAUUCCUUUAUUCAAUACAAUUCGUCAAAACAAAUACGGUGGCUGCCGACUGACAUUUUUCACUGGGUCAUAUUGUAUGAAUUUUUUUCCAGGAUUUUUCUCGUGUUUUUUUUGCCUGCAUCCUAUCUUUGCUAGUGUCCUAUACACAGUGAUAUAGAUGGUAUGCAUAGAAUAGUAGAACAUUUGGGGAAGAUUGGGCGAUUGAUCUAGUAUUGCUUUACUUUUGCUAAAGCUAUUUUGUUGUUCCAUACCCAGGUUACAAGGAUAAUAUUGUGUGGAUACAACAUAAUCUUAACCAGGACUGCCUCUGACAAGGAAGAGGAAGGCAUAUAUUUACUGGGGUGAUAAAUUUAAAUUUUAAAAAAGAUAAUUUAAUACAUUGUCAGCUUGACUAUUCAAAGAAUUAAGACCUUGGAUAUGUGGUCCCAACUAUCCAACCUACCUAAUUCAUCAAAUCAUAUUUUAAGUAUCUCCCAUGGCUUGUGUAAGAUAGGUUCAUUGAUUGACUGAUUGAUUGAUAAAUGUUUAAGUGUUUAUACUUUUCGGGACGUUUUCUACCUUUUUUAAGGCUGCUAUCAAGUAACUACAUGCUUUGGGUAACAAGGCUUCCAAUUUAUAGUUGUUAUUUUUCCUUAACAGACAUAUCUAGUUAGUUUUUCAGUCAUCAGUGUCUGACCCAAAGAACGACUAAAGUUACAUGUUUCUGCAUUUUUGACAGUACUCAUGUAAUGAUUGCCUCACUCUUUUGUAGGCAUAUUUCAAGUAAAGUUUCCAUGAGCUCAUGGUCAUUUUCAGGUAUCUGAUGUUGUGUGUUGGCAGAAAUGCAGAGUGGUACCACCGGUCACCUGAGCCACCUUUCCCCUCACAGACGAGAGACUCGUCUGUCAGUGACAGUAGUUUCCAGAGUAGCACUGAAUUGCAUGAAGCCUUACAAACUUAAGCAGCCAUCCACUGACAGGCUGGAGUGAUUUGGAUUUCCGAUGCCACAUUUACCUUUGUGCUCAGUGACAAGCUGGCGCUUAGCUGCCAUGUCUGAUGAUCCUCAUUGAGUUUAAUGGUGUUUCUACUGGCCUUAUCAUCAAGUCUCUGCAUAUGACUUCUUGCAGUAGCUGAGAUAUCCAUAUAUGUGAGAAGCACAUUUGCCUUUGUUAUUCCAGCAGGCAUUUCCCUAAACCCAGAACCAAGAAACGUGUUUAUUGUGGCUCCCUUGCCAUCUUUGCACUCGCUAUACUGGCGUAAGUUCCGGUGCACCAGGCAGGUCUUCCUCAUUUGGAAUCCACAUCUUCAGCUGAACUGCGGCAAUGAAUAAAAUCAGACUCCUUAGCAGCAUGGGCUUCACAGUCUUGGAUGAGAGCAUGGCUUGGGUAACAGAUGCUGGGAGCCAGUCACAAGAGGAGGAGGUCGGGACACAGAUGCUGGGAGCCAGUCACAAGAGGUGGAGGGCGGGACACAGAUGCUGGGACCCAGUCACAAGAGGUGGAGGGCGGGACACAGAUGCUGGGACCCAGUCAUAAGAGGUGGA
This is a long non-coding RNA of Mya arenaria, 3097 nucleotides long. RefSeq lists it as uncharacterized. The transcript has 4 exons. The record is from RefSeq and is a predicted model, not a curated record. NCBI's taxonomy places the organism in Eukaryota, Metazoa, Mollusca, Bivalvia, Myida, Myidae.